GGGUGCGAUCAUAAUAGCGCUAAUGCUCCGGAUCCCAUCAGAACUCCGUAGUUAAGCAUGCUCGGGCGAGAGUAGUACUAGUAUGGGUGACCUCCUGGGAAGUCCUCGUGUUACACCCC
This 119-nucleotide ribosomal RNA is filed under the name Gossypium arboreum. Lineage: Eukaryota; Viridiplantae; Streptophyta; Magnoliopsida; Malvales; Malvaceae. The record is from RNAcentral.